UCCUUCCUCCCUCUCUCUCUUCCUUCCUUCCUUCUUUUUUUCCCCUCUGUUUUUCCUCUUCAUUUCCAAACUACUCUGAAAAAUGCAGGAAUAUUGGUAGGAUGUUUUUGAAAUCUGCAUAGGAAAGGGCCAAGAUAAAACCACCAGUAUUAAUCUAGUAGGCAAUGAAAUCUAUUUCUGACGUGAUGAUUACCCUCUUGGACUAUGUGGCCAGCUCCUAGGAUUAGCCACCCAACCACAAGGGUAAUUUCACCACAGUGUGGAUUAUGGAAAGGUGGAAAGAAUUUAAUAUUUGGAUCAGACCUGAGGGAGAGAUCCAGUCAUCUGAUGGGAGAAAAGGAGAAAGCAAGCCAGAAAGGAUUAUGGAGAAGGACCAGGAUAUGAGAGAGUAUGUAUCUACUGAUCAAGAAGAGAAAAAGGAUCAAGAAAACUAAGGAAGAAAAACAAUUUCAAGAAGGAGGUAAGGAGUCUUGAAAAAACUAGAGAUAACAAUAAUAAGAAGAAAAACAAUUUUGAGAGAUCUAUUACUCAGAUCAAAGUGGGAAACAGCAGUGACUUCAAAAGAUGGAUGAUGAAACAUACCUUCCACCUCUUGACAGAGAGGCGAUGCGCUGGAGAUGUGCAAUGAGACCUGAGUACUCAGAAGUGGAUAAUGUGCUGAUUUGUUUUGUUGGACUAUAUAUGUUUGCUUUGCUGGUGUUGAAUGUGGGAAAGAAAUUGGUUUAGUGAAAUUCAAAGAAGAACAGUAAUAAAACAUUUAAAAAGGCAGAUAAAUGAAAAAUGCAUAAAGAGUUGUAAACUAAUUGAGCACUUUUGUUACAACAGAUAUAGAUCAUAUAUAUGUAUAUAUACACAUAUCUUGAAAAAUAAACUAUUCAACAAAAGAAA
Long non-coding RNA from Sarcophilus harrisii (Tasmanian devil), 888 nucleotides. RefSeq lists it as uncharacterized. NCBI's taxonomy places the organism in Eukaryota, Metazoa, Chordata, Mammalia, Dasyuromorphia, Dasyuridae. The transcript has 3 exons. The record is from RefSeq and is a predicted model, not a curated record.